GACUAUAUGGCAGGGUAUUCGCAACAGCGAUUGGCCAAUUACUGCGAACCCAAGAACAAUGCGUUAACAUCAAAUAGCAAAAAACUAACAACUAUAACUUCAUGCAUUUAUACAACUAAGUAUUUAGCUAGCUACGGCAACUGAUCAUGCUAUGAUAAUAACAUGCACUACUUAUUGUCGCGAACUGUCCAUUGCUAACACAAGGUCUACUCAGU
Molecule: non-coding RNA, 215 nt
Organism: Paramuricea clavata
Lineage: Eukaryota; Metazoa; Cnidaria; Anthozoa; Malacalcyonacea; Plexauridae
Source: the annotation of a GenBank genome assembly